GUAUUACCUAUGCAAUACUUAUCCUAAAAUUGAAACAACACAGAGAAGGUUAGCAUGGCUCCUGCACAAGUUUGAGAGCAACUGUGUAAAGUAUUCCAUUGAA
Small nuclear RNA from Perognathus longimembris pacificus (Pacific pocket mouse), 103 nucleotides. NCBI's taxonomy places the organism in Eukaryota, Metazoa, Chordata, Mammalia, Rodentia, Heteromyidae. The record is from RefSeq and is a predicted model, not a curated record.